Jatropha curcas is the source of this 584-nucleotide non-coding RNA. Lineage: Eukaryota; Viridiplantae; Streptophyta; Magnoliopsida; Malpighiales; Euphorbiaceae. The record is from RefSeq and is a predicted model, not a curated record.
AUUUGUCCCUGUCCAUAGAACAGAAAACUUUUCUUUUGAUAUCCGACAUCCAAAAUGCAGUGUUAUAUGGUCCAUGCUGUGUAAAAACGUUCUGGGAUUUGGUACAAUAUCCUUAGCCAAAGUCCGAGCCUUGAGAUAUGAAGUGCCGUACCGAAGACGUUUAUUCAAAGAUAUAAUUAAUUCAGCAUCUCUGGCAGUCUGGAAUUGAACAAUAGCAUAUUUUCUUUGACCCCCAUUUUUGGUUUCCCUGAUCUUCAUUGCAAAAACAGUUCCAUCCCCUGAAUGUGAUUCCAGACACUUCUUGACUUCAUCUACAGUCACAUCGGGAGGGAAUCCAUACACGUGAAUUGUCUUACCCAUCAAAGCAAUUCUUAAAAGUAAAAUAAAGAAACCAAAUUAUCACUUGCUCACUCAAAUUAAACCACUUCAGUUCUCAUCCAAGAAACCAGAAACCAGAAACCAACGAUAGAAACAGUUUCACAUUCAAGUCGCUCUUUCUCUGUCUUUGAGCAAGCAAAUUUUCAUCUGCUUUUUCUCCAAUCAGUCAAUGUAAGUCUCUCUGUGACACUGUGUUGCCCUCGUAC